Molecule: unclassified non-coding RNA, 148 nt
Filed under: soil metagenome
Description: partial internal transcribed spacer 1
Source: RNAcentral
CCGAGUUUACAACUCCCAAACCCCUGUGAACAUACCUAUACGUUGCCUCGGCGGAUCAGCCCGCACCCCGUAAAAAGGGACGGCCCGCCCGAGGACCCCUAAACUCUGUUUUUAGUGGAACUUCUGAGUAAAACAAACAAAUAAAUCA